Molecule: ribosomal RNA, 468 nt
Filed under: uncultured bacterium
Lineage: Bacteria
Description: partial 16S ribosomal RNA
Rfam family: Bacterial small subunit ribosomal RNA
Source: RNAcentral
GACGAACGCUGGCGGCGUGCUUAACACAUGCAAGUCGAACGGAAAGACCCUGCUUUUGUGGGGUGCUCGAGUGGCGAACGGGUGAGUAACACGUGAGUAACCUGCCCUUGACUUUGGGAUAACUUCAGGAAACUGGGACUAAUACCGGAUAGGAGCUCCUGCUGCAUGGUGGGGGUUGGAAAGUUUCGGCGGUUGGGGAUGGACUCGCGGCUUAUCAGCUUGUUGGUGGGGUAGUGGCUUACCAAGGCUUUGACGGGUAGCCGGCCUGAGAGGGGGACCGGCCACAUGGGGACUGAGAUACGGCCCAGACGCCUACGGGAGGCAGCAGGGGGGAAUAUGGCACAAUGGGCGGAAGCCUGAUGCAGCAACGCCGCGUGCGGGAUGACGGCCUUCGGGUUGUAAACCGCUGUCGCCUGUGACGAAGCGUGAGUGACGGUAAUGGGUAAAGAAGCACCGGCUAACUACGUG